CAGUGAAAUUGAACUCGCUGUGAAGAUGCAGUGUACCCGCGGCAAGACGGAAAGACCCCGUGAACCUUUACUAUAGCUUGACACUGAACAUUGAGCCUUGAUGUGUAGGAUAGGUGGGAGGCUUUGAAGUGUGGACGCCAGUCUGCAUGGAGCCGACCUUGAAAUACCACCCUUUAAUGUUUGAUGUUCUAACGUGGACCCGUAAUCCGGGUUGCGGACAGUGUCUGGUGGGUAGUUUGACUGGGGCGGUCUCCUCCUAAAGAGUAACGGAGGAGCACGAAGGUUGGCUAAUCCUGGUCGGACAUCAGGAGGUUAGUGCAAUGGCAUAAGCCAGCUUGACUGCGAGCGUGACGGCGCGAGCAGGUGCGAAAGCAGGUCAUAGUGAUCCGGUGGUUCUGAAUGGAAGGGCCAUCGCUCAACGGAUAAAAGGUACUCCGGGGAUAACAGGCUGAUACCGCCCAAGAGUUCAUAUCGACGGCGGUGUUUGGCACCUCGAUGUCGGCUCAUCACAUCCUGGGGCUGAAGUAGGUCCCAAGGGUAUGGCUGUUCGCCAUUUAAAGUGGUACGCGAGCUGGGUUUAGAACGUCGUGAGACAGUUCGGUCCCUAUCUGCCGUGGGCGCUGGAGAACUGAGGGGGGCUGCUCCUAGUACGAGAGGACCGGAGUGGACGCAUCACUGGUGUUCGGGUUGUCAUGCCAAUGGCACUGCCCGGUAGCUAAAUGCGGAAGAGAUAAGUGCUGAAAGCAUCUAAGCACGAAACUUGCCCCGAGAUGAGUUCUCCCUGAGACUUAGAGUCUCCUGAAGGAACGUUGAAGACGACGACGUUGAUAGGCCGGGUGUGUAAGCGCAGCGAUGCGUUGAGCUAACCGGUACUAAUGAACCGUGAGGCUUAACCUU
RNAcentral lists this ribosomal RNA (897 nucleotides) under Salmonella enterica. RNAcentral's name for it is "partial 23S ribosomal RNA". It matches the Rfam family "Bacterial large subunit ribosomal RNA", at positions 2034 to 2925 of the family's 2925-position model. Lineage: Bacteria; Pseudomonadati; Pseudomonadota; Gammaproteobacteria; Enterobacterales; Enterobacteriaceae. RNAcentral also lists the same sequence under 1 other name. The record is from RNAcentral.